RNAcentral lists this ribosomal RNA (440 nucleotides) under Acinetobacter sp. PVAS-6. RNAcentral describes it as "bacterial SSU rRNA". It matches the Rfam family "Bacterial small subunit ribosomal RNA", at positions 565 to 1004 of the family's 1533-position model. Lineage: Bacteria; Pseudomonadati; Pseudomonadota; Gammaproteobacteria; Moraxellales; Moraxellaceae. The record is from RNAcentral.
GCGCGCGUAGGUGGCUAAUUAAGUCAAAUGUGAAAUCCCCGAGCUUAACUUGGGAAUUGCAUUCGAUACUGGUUAGCUAGAGUAUGGGAGAGGAUGGUAGAAUUCCAGGUGUAGCGGUGAAAUGCGUAGAGAUCUGGAGGAAUACCGAUGGCGAAGGCAGCCAUCUGGCCUAAUACUGACACUGAGGUGCGAAAGCAUGGGGAGCAAACAGGAUUAGAUACCCUGGUAGUCCAUGCCGUAAACGAUGUCUACUAGCCGUUGGGGCCCUUGAGGCUUUAGUGGCGCAGCUAACGCGAUAAGUAGACCGCCUGGGGAGUACGGUCGCAAGACUAAAACUCAAAUGAAUUGACGGGGGCCCGCACAAGCGGUGGAGCAUGUGGUUUAAUUCGAUGCAACGCGAAGAACCUUACCUGGCCUUGACAUACAGAGAACUUUCCAGA